RNAcentral lists this ribosomal RNA (253 nucleotides) under uncultured bacterium. RNAcentral's name for it is "partial 16S ribosomal RNA". It matches the Rfam family "Bacterial small subunit ribosomal RNA", at positions 524 to 776 of the family's 1533-position model. The record is from RNAcentral.
UACGUAGGAUCCAAGCGUUGUCCGGAUUUACUGGGUGUAAAGGGUGCGCAGGCGGACUUGUAAGUCAGGGGUGAAAUCUCACAGCUCAACUGUGAAACUGCCUUUGAUACUGCAAGUCUUGGAUCCAGAAGAGAGUUGUGGAAUUCCGAGUGUAGCAGUGAAAUGUGUAGAUAUUCGGAAGAACACCAGUGGCGAAGGCAGCAACUUGGUCUGGUAUCGACGCUCAGACACGAAAGCAUGGGGAUCAAACAGG